Quercus lobata is the source of this 3321-nucleotide long non-coding RNA. RefSeq lists it as uncharacterized. The record is from RefSeq and is a predicted model, not a curated record. The transcript is spliced from 2 exons. Lineage: Eukaryota; Viridiplantae; Streptophyta; Magnoliopsida; Fagales; Fagaceae.
ACAUGGUUCUGGUUUUUCUUGAAUGCUGGCUUUAGGGAUGAAUUUCAAUAUUAUUUUUCCUAUAUCGUUCCAAUUCCUGAAGCUUUAUCAGUUAAAGUUUAAAGCUUUGCAUGUGGAACAGAAGGGACAGCUGAGGAGCUUUGAAAUCCAUAAACCCAUUAGCUUAGAACUUGAAUUUCAUGGUUUUCUUUUGGCAUUCUAUUAAAAAAAGUAGUUUGUUUUGGUUGUUGCUAGUGAUUGGCAAUAUGGGUAUGGUUUAAGAUUUCUCAUUUUAGUUUAGGAAUUUCAGAAGCUAUUAUGUUGCUUGUAUUAAUUAGCUUUUUGGUUGUUGGUGCCAAUGGGAAAUCAGGGUAUGGUUUUAAAAAAAAAUUAGGCUAAAUAUUCUUUUGGUCUUAAAAUAUAGCCUGGGUUUUAUUUUCAUCCUCAAAAUUGAAAAAAGAGUUUCUAUAUUUUAACUUUCCUUUCACUCUUAUUAAGUUCUAAUUUUCAGUAACAAUAUAAAGCCUUGAUAUUUCAGGUAAAUAGAAUACUACAGUAUUUGUCUCUAAGAUAUAGUGUAGUUUCUAAUUUUGUCCCUAAAAUAUGUAUUCUGAACAAAAAAAUUUCAAGAAAAUGGACCAUGGGACGAAAUGAAUGGCAAUACAACUUUUUUAAUUUUAGUGAUGAAGAUAGAACAUGUACUGUAUAUAUAUUUCCUUUCUUUUAGGUGUAGGAAUAGCAGAAACUACAAUGGUGAAAAACUGCUCAGGUAAUUUUCCGAGUACCCAGAACUAUUAGGGUAACCUUUGAAGAUUUUAACUGGAUUCUUAAUGGCAUAAACUAGCAUAAUGCUUGAGUUCUCUAUCUCUUUUGUUUGGUAAGUCGUACAAGCACUUAUUUGUAGGUUCCCAAGAAUUCAUCGUCCACCCAAUCUUGUGGGGGAGGAAGUACCAUUUGAGCCAGGCUUUGUUGGCUAGCAAUAGCAUAGAAGAGUUUGCUUUAUCUUUAUUAUUUGCUCAGGUGAUGUUCGGUUUGAAAUUUUUUCUGGCAAUUUUCUCAGGUGAUGUUUGUGGUUUAAAUUCAGAUUUUCGUUAAGGUGGUUGGUGUGUGGGUGUGUGUGUGUAUAUAUAUGCUUAACUUGACAUAAAACAUUCCCAUGCUUUAUGCUGUUACAAAUAUGGCAAUGAUGAGCCUGGGGGUGAAUUUGCAUAUGCUAAUACCUCCAUUGAUGAAGAAACACUAGGACUGCUAAUUGCAAAACAUUAACAUAUGAUUAAUGAAUUGCUUCUAAUGAAGGGCAAAGACUAAUCCAUCUAAUUUCUUGUAUGGCCAUUAUGGCUGGGCAAAUUAUUUGGUUUCUAUGCUACUUCUAGAAACUCUUACUGAAGGUAUUCAAUUAGUUCAAUGGUAAACAUGUUUUCUAAUUAUUCAAAUCAUGUUAGUUUUCUUGCAUAUGAUUGUGAGGUGGAGAGAAAAAAUGAAGAGAAAUGUCUACUUAGUUGCUCAUUAAAAAUUGGUUUGGGACCAUUUAGUUUGUCGGCUUUAGGAGCCAUCAUUCUUUAUCUAGUUUAUGGGCUACAAGAUGUUCACUCAAAAUACCUUAUGUAUAUCUCUCUAUAAGUGGAUAGAAUUGAAAUUUAAUUAGCAAAGUAAUUGUGAAUACAUAAGUAGUUUCCUCAAAAAUCCUCCAUUAUAGUAUCUCAUUGGUUUAUUAAGAUCAUAUAGUGUUUUCUCAACCAUUAUUUCUUGGGGUCUGCUUUGGGGCUAGAAGGUGCUCACUCAAAACAAUUUUAUGUAUGUAUCUGUAUACGCACAAAAAAAGUGGAACUCAACUAGCUAAGUAAUUGUGAAUGCAUUACUAGUUUCCUCAAACAUCCUCCCCGAUAGUAGCUCAUUGCACACGAAGAUCUAGUAAUAUUUAUGAACUAUUAUUUCCUUGGCAGGUUCUCUUUGAUCAAGAGAGCAUUACUGUCUAGCAUGGUAUGAACAAUGAACUUUUUAAGUAUUUGGAAAGCCUUGUUGGAAAUAUGUACCUUGAGUGGUUUCUGCUGCCACUUAGUUUGCCAAAUUGGUUGGUAUUAUUUGCACUAUAUUCAUGAGUCAUUGACAAAUGCAGAUUUGUCUUCAAUAUUGUUGUUGCUACUAUUGUAUGGUCAGACUGAGACAUAUGACCACCCAUUGUAUGCUAUUUCAUAGAGUUGAAGGUUUCUACCUUUUCCAAUGGAUACAUUCUUUGGGCAGCAUCUCUGUUUAAAGUCAUGCCCUUGUCAGAAAUGACUUCAUCCGAUGGUGAGAAUUAAUUACAUAAUUUCAUUCAAGUACAGUAUAUGCCAUGAGCAAUAUGCUGGCCUUAAUCUUGUUUAUUGGUUUUAGUCUUUUGACCUUCUUUGCGGCUAAAAUUUUUAUCCUUGCAGUAUGUACAAACAUAUAUCUGUUUCUUCUUGAUUGUGGCUAAACAAAUCUGGAUAAAUACAGGCUGGACGAAUAAGGAACCCUUCCAAAGUAUGAUCCUAGAAGGCUUUUGUGUAAGAUUAUUGAUUUGGAACUUGCAUUGUGUGUGGUUAAUCAUUACCUUGCACUCAAGAGGAUUGUUAUCAAUCCAUCCCUCAAGCCUUAGUGCGAUGGCAAAUGCCUUCCACCAAAAGCGAUAGGUUGCAGGUUCGAGUCCAAGAAUCAGCCUCUCUAAAAUAUUGAGGGUAACGUUGCCUACCACGAAUUCUUCCAAAUCCUGCAAAAAUGGGAGUUUUGUGCACUAGAUAUGACUUUUUUUUAUAUAAACGCUUAAAAUAGAUUUGGUCCAAGGCCUUUUAUGUAUGUCAAUGGGAAACCGCAGGUUUAGUGCUUAGUAACAUUCAUAAUGCAAACUUUUAUAUUCAACAGCAGGCUUCAAGUACAAAGGAUCUGGUUAUAUGGAGUUUUGGUCAUAUGAAUCAAUCAAAAUCGGGUGUAAAGGCGUGAAAGGUUUGAAACUUUGAUAUCAGUGUAUUUCUGAGUGUCUUUUAAUGUAUUAUUGGCAGUAGUUGGAUAAUGGAGUUGAAGUUAGUUUGCUGUGGUGUGAAUGCUUGGGCUUAGUUUCGCUGAAAGCAAUCAAAACUCUUCUUCUUAAGGACUUUGUCUUGAGUGAUUAUACAAUUGAUAUAUAUAUAUAUAUAUAUCCAGGUGCCCAUUGCUUGAGAUUAUGUUUAACAGGCUUAAGUUAGCUAUUCUCCAUGUGCUGUUAAUUAGUAGCAGAUAAUGUAUAAAUAGCUCUAGUGCUGAACAUAUACUGUACUGAUUCAUUUAUCUCAUUUGAUCAAUAUACAGAACUUCUAUUCUUCUCAAAAAAAAAAAAAAAAAAAAUCA